Molecule: ribosomal RNA, 484 nt
Filed under: uncultured bacterium
Lineage: Bacteria
Description: partial 16S ribosomal RNA
Rfam family: Bacterial small subunit ribosomal RNA
Source: RNAcentral
AUUGAACGCUGGCGGAAUGCUUUACACAUGCAAGUCGAACGGCAGCACGGGGGCAACCCUGGUGGCGAGUGGCGAACGGGUGAGUAAUACAUCGGAACGUGCCCGGUCGUGGGGGAUAACGUAGCGAAAGUUACGCUAAUACCGCAUCGGAUCUGAGGUUGAAGCGGGGGGACCUUCGGGCCUCGCCGGUCCGGGCGGCCCGAUGUCAGAUUAGGUAGUUGGUGGGGUAAAGGCCUACCAAGCCGACGAUCUGUAGCUGGUCUGAGAGGACGACCAGCCACACUGGGACUGAGACACGGCCCAGACUCCUACGGGAGGCAGCAGUGGGGAAUUUUGGACAAAGGGCGCAAGCCUGAUCCAGCCAUUCCGCGUGCAGGACGAAGGCCUUCGGGUUGUAAACUGCUUUUGUAUGGAACGAAAAGGCUCUGGCUAAUACCUGGGGCUCAUGACGGUACCGUAAGAAUAAGCACCGGCUAACUACGUG